Long non-coding RNA from Homo sapiens (human), 782 nucleotides. NCBI's taxonomy places the organism in Eukaryota, Metazoa, Chordata, Mammalia, Primates, Hominidae. The record is from Ensembl.
AGACAGACUAUGAAGAGAUACAUAGGGUGAGAAACGGAGGCCUUCAGCCAACAGCUGGGAGAAGCUGAGUCCCAUCAGCCAUUCAAAAGACUGCAGCCCCAGCCAAGAGUUUGAUGUAACCUCAGGAGAGACCCUGAGCCAGAACCACCUAGGCCAACGAGCUAUACCUAGUGAUUCCAAAGUCCACAUAUAUUUACUCUGUUCUCACUGUACAAAGUAACCACUCUGAAGUCAAAAAAGCUGGGAUACAUGAAGACUGCCAUCCCUUGAGUCACUUGCCCUGUAGCUGCCACUGUUGGAAAAGGGCUUGCUUCUGUGUCCUUGUGCCCACUUUGAAAAUCCCUGGGAAGUCCUUGGAGUCAGAUGAGCAGGCCUCCGCCACUCUGCCAAAAAGUCUGUUCAGUGAGUUUAGAAUCAUAUAGAAAAGACAUGGAUGUGGGGGAUCCUGUGCCAUGUAUUUGAAACAGUAGCUGCCAUAUAAUAUGCUUUCGGUAUAUGAAUGAAUUCAAAAGGAUAUUAUCAUGCUCAUACCUUCUAGAUCAGGAGUCCCCAACCCCUGAGCCAUGGACUGAUAUGGAGCUAUGGUCUGUUAGGAACUGGGCUGCCCAGGAGGAGCAAUGGUGCUUCUACAAUUUCCUUAUAGGAGGAGUGAAGAGUAAGCAUUUGGAUUGGACCAGGAUUUGGAGAACUUGUCAUGUUGCUCUACGUGCAUAUGAAAUACAUCAUUGUAACUUAGAAUGUGAAUUACAGAACAAACAUGAAAGUUAGAAAAAUAUUCUAAA